Molecule: transfer RNA, 72 nt
Filed under: Selenomonas sp.
Lineage: Bacteria; Bacillati; Bacillota; Negativicutes; Selenomonadales; Selenomonadaceae
Description: tRNA-Val
Rfam family: tRNA (bases 7-64)
About the family: Transfer RNA (tRNA) molecules are approximately 80 nucleotides in length. Their secondary structure includes four short double-helical elements and three loops (D, anti-codon, and T loops).
Source: RNAcentral
GGCGAUUAGCUCAGCUGGGAGAGCGCUUGCCUUACAAGCAAGAUGUCACAGGUUCGAACCCUGUUCUGGUCA